UAGGGAAUAUUGGUCAAUGGAUGGAAGUCUGAACCAGCCAUGCCGCGUGCAGGAAGAAGGCCUUCUGGGUUGUAAACUGCUUUUGCCAGGGGCUAAAAAGCUCAUGCGUGGGAAAUUGAAAGUACCUGGUGAAUAAGCCACGGCUAACUACGUGCCAGCAGCCGCGGUAAUACGUAGGUGGCAAGCGUUGUCCGGAUUUAUUGGGUUUAAAGGGUGCGUAGGCGGUUUUGUAAGUCAGUGGUGAAAUAUAGCAGCUUAACUGUUAGGGUGCCAUUGAUACUGCAGAACUUGAGUACAGAUGAGGUAGGCGGAAUUGACGGUGUAGCGGUGAAAUGCUUAGAUAUCGUCAAGAACACCGAUAGCGAAGGCAGCUUACUAGGCUGUAACUGACGCUGAGGCACGAAAGUGUGGGGAUCAAACAGGAUUAGAUACCCUGGUAGUCCACACUGUAAACGUUGAAGACUCGCUGUGUGCGAUAAACAGUACGG
Molecule: ribosomal RNA, 488 nt
Filed under: uncultured Bacteroidota bacterium
Lineage: Bacteria; Pseudomonadati; Bacteroidota
Description: bacterial SSU rRNA
Rfam family: Bacterial small subunit ribosomal RNA
Source: RNAcentral